GCGAGUGUAGCCAAGUGGUUGAAGGCGGCGGGUUGUGGUUCCGUUAUUCGCCGGUUCGAGUCCGGUCAUUCGCC
Molecule: transfer RNA, 74 nt
Filed under: Climaconeis cf. scalaris
Lineage: Eukaryota; Bacillariophyta; Bacillariophyceae; Naviculales; Amphipleuraceae
Description: tRNA-His
Rfam family: tRNA
About the family: Transfer RNA (tRNA) molecules are approximately 80 nucleotides in length. Their secondary structure includes four short double-helical elements and three loops (D, anti-codon, and T loops).
Source: RNAcentral